Uranotaenia lowii is the source of this 202-nucleotide long non-coding RNA. RefSeq lists it as uncharacterized. The transcript has 3 exons. The record is from RefSeq and is a predicted model, not a curated record. NCBI's taxonomy places the organism in Eukaryota, Metazoa, Arthropoda, Insecta, Diptera, Culicidae.
UGAUCUUCGAGUUAUCGAUAAGCAAGUUUAACAACGUAUUACCGUAUAGUACAGGAGAUAAUUGCGCGCGAACUGGUGCUAAGAUACCGUAUUCCGUCUUUCACAAUUAGACCUCAUAUAAUUUGAUGGUUCUCGUCAUUAUUUAUGGUGCACUACGGACAAACGUAGGAUAAUUGAACAAUCAUACUAUAAUCAUUCUACG